UAGUCCACGCCGUAAACGAUGUAUGCUAGUUGUUGGUGUCCUUAGGGCAUCAGUGACGCAGCUAACGCGAUAAGCAUACCGCCUGGGGAGUACGGUCGCAAGAUUAAAACUCAAAGGAAUUGACGGGGACCCGCACAAGCGGUGGAGCAUGUUGUUUAAUUCGAAGCAACGCGAAGAACCUUACCUACACUUGACAUACCUAUCGGGAAUUGCAGAGAUGCUUUUCUUCGGUUCGGCCGGAUAGGAUACAGGUGCUGCAUGGCUGUCGUCAGCUCGUGUCGUGAGAUGUUAGGUUAAGUCCUGCAACGAGCGCAACCCUUACUGUCUGUUGCCAUCAUUUAGUUGGGAACUCAGACGGGACUGCCGGUGUUAAGCCGGAGGAAGGUGGGGACGACGUCAAGUCAUCAUGGCCCUUACGUGUAGGGCUACAAACGUGCUACAAUGGUUGUUACAGUGAGCAGCGAACCUGCGAAGGUGAGCGAAUCUCUAAAGGCAGU
This 497-nucleotide ribosomal RNA is filed under the name uncultured bacterium. RNAcentral describes it as "bacterial SSU rRNA". It matches the Rfam family "Bacterial small subunit ribosomal RNA", at positions 791 to 1286 of the family's 1533-position model. The record is from RNAcentral.